CAAGCAGCGGAGCGUGUGGUUUAAUUCGUUGCUACACGAAGAACCUUAACCUGGGUUUGACAUAUAGGUUGUAGGGAACUGAAAAGGGACCGACCUUCGGGAGCCUAUACAGGUGUUGCAUGGCUGUCGUCAGCUCGUGUCGUGAGAUGUUCGGUUAAGUCCGCUAACGAGCGCAACCCUCGUCGUAUGUUAUAUGUGUCAUACGAGACUGCCGGUAAAAGCCGGAGGAAGGUGAGGAUGAUGUCAAGUCAGCAUGACCUUUAUAUCUAGGGCUACACACACGCUACAAUGGUCUGUACAAUGGGUAGCCAAGCCGCGAGGCGGAGCCAAUCCUGAAAGCAGGCCUCAGUUCAGAUUGCAGUCUGCAACUCGACUGCAUGGAAGCCGGAGUUGCCAGUAACCGCAGGUCAGCAAUACUGCGGUGAAUACGUUCCCGGGUCUU
RNAcentral lists this ribosomal RNA (442 nucleotides) under uncultured Anaerolineaceae bacterium. RNAcentral describes it as "bacterial SSU rRNA". It matches the Rfam family "Bacterial small subunit ribosomal RNA", at positions 926 to 1382 of the family's 1533-position model. Lineage: Bacteria; Bacillati; Chloroflexota; Anaerolineae; Anaerolineales; Anaerolineaceae. The record is from RNAcentral.